RNAcentral lists this ribosomal RNA (506 nucleotides) under uncultured bacterium. RNAcentral describes it as "partial 16S ribosomal RNA". It matches the Rfam family "Bacterial small subunit ribosomal RNA", at positions 29 to 523 of the family's 1533-position model. The record is from RNAcentral.
AGUGAACGCUGGCGGUAGGCCUAACACAUGCAAGUCGAACGGCAGCACAGGAGAGCUUGCUCUCUGGGUGGCGAGUGGCGGACGGGUGAGGAAUACAUCGGAAUCUACUCUGUCGUGGGGGAUAACGUAGGGAAACUUACGCUAAUACCGCAUACGACCUACGGGUGAAAGCAGGGGACCUUCGGGCCUUGCGCGAUUGAAUGAGCCGAUGUCGGAUUAGCUAGUUGGCGGGGUAAAGGCCCACCAAGGCGACGAUCCGUAGCUGGUCUGAGAGGAUGAUCAGCCACACUGGAACUGAGACACGGUCCGGACUCCUACGGGAGGCAGCAGUGAGAGAUAUUGGACAAUGGGCGCAAGCCUGAUCCAGCCAUACCGCGUGGGUGAAGAAGGCCUUCGGGUUGUAAAGCCCUUUUGUUGGGAAAGAAAUCCAGCUGGCUAAUACCCGGUUGGGAUGACGGUACCCAAAGAAUAAGCACCGGCUAACUUCGUGCCAGCAGCCGCAGUAA